This 210-nucleotide ribosomal RNA is filed under the name Triticum aestivum (bread wheat). RNAcentral describes it as "partial small subunit ribosomal RNA". Lineage: Eukaryota; Viridiplantae; Streptophyta; Magnoliopsida; Poales; Poaceae. The record is from RNAcentral.
AUGAUAUCUGUUAUUUGCUGGCAAGAACUGGCAUGGACCGGCUGGUGUACUCCUGGAUGGCAAUGUCGCCUGGUGGCAACAAGCUGUACUCCUGGACGGGGGUGCCGCCCAACGGCAGUGGGGUGCGCAACGUACACUAAAAGGAAAAGUGGGAGAGUGGAAAAUAACGAAAUGGGAGUAUCCAAAGAAGAUGAGUGGUGGAGUAAAUGA